RNAcentral lists this ribosomal RNA (1242 nucleotides) under metagenome. RNAcentral describes it as "bacterial LSU rRNA". It matches the Rfam family "Bacterial large subunit ribosomal RNA", at positions 1635 to 2872 of the family's 2925-position model. The record is from RNAcentral.
UAUACGACCGUACCGCAAACCGACACUGGUGCGCGAGAUGAGUAUUCUAAGGCGCUUGAGAGAACUCAGGAGAAGGAACUCGGCAAAUUGACACCGUAACUUCGGAAGAAGGUGUGCCCUAUUAGUGUGUAGUGAACAACGAAGCAUGAAUGGGUUGCAAAAAAUCGGUGGCUGCGACUGUUUAUUAAAAACACAGCACUCUGCAAACACGAAAGUGGACGUAUAGGGUGUGACGCCUGCCCGGUGCUGGAAGAUUAAAUGAUGGGGUGCAAGCUCUUGAUUGAAGUCCCAGUAAACGGCGGCCGUAACAAUAACGGUCCUAAGGUAGCGAAAUUCCUUGUCGGGUAAGUUCCGACCUGCACGAAUGGCGUAACGAUGGCCACACUGUCUCCUCCUGAGACUCAGCGAAGUUGAAAUGUUUGUGAUGAUGCAAUCUCCCCGCGGAAAGACGGAAAGACCCCAUGAACCUUUACUGUAGCUUUGUAUUGGACUUUGAACAGAUCUGUGCAUAGGUGGGAGGCUUUGAAGCAGGGUCGCUAGAUCUUGUGGAGCCAACGUUGAAAUACCACCCUGGUGUGUUUGAGGUUCUAACCUAGGUCCAUUAUCUGGAUCGGGGACAGUGCAUGGUAGGCAGUUUGACUGGGGCGGUCUCCUCCCAAAGCGUAACGGAGGAGUUCGAAGGUACGCUAGUUACGGUCGGACAUCGUGACGAUAGUGCAAUGGCAUAAGCGUGCUUAACUGCGAGACUGACAAGUCGAGCAGAUGCGAAAGCAGGACAUAGUGAUCCGGUGGUUCUGUAUGGAAGGGCCAUCGCUCAACGGAUAAAAGGUACUCUGGGGAUAACAGGCUGAUACCGCCCAAGAGUUCAUAUCGACGGCGGUGUUUGGCACCUCGAUGUCGGCUCAUCUCAUCCUGGGGCUGUAGCCGGUCCCAAGGGUAUGGCUGUUCGCCAUUUAAAGAGGUACGUGAGCUGGGUUUAAAACGUCGUGAGACAGUUUGGUCCCUAUCUUCCGUGGGCGCUGCAGAUUUGAGGAAGCCUGCUCCUAGUACGAGAGGACCGGAGUGGACACACCUCUGGUGUAUCGGUUGUCACGCCAGUGGCAUUGCCGAGUAGCUAAGUGUGGAAGAGAUAACCGCUGAAAGCAUCUAAGCGGGAAACUCGUUUCAAGAUGAGAUCUGCCGGGGCCUUGAGCCCCCUAAAGAGUCGUUCAAGACCAGGACGUUGAUAGGUCAGGUGUGGAA